GGAAGUAAAAGUCGUAACUAGGUUUCCGUAGGUGAACCUGCGGAAGGAUCAUUAUUGUAUAACCGAGGUGCGAGGGCUGUCGCUGACCCGAAAGGUCGUGCACGCCCGAGUGCCCUCACACACAUCCAUCUCACCCCUAUGUGCACCACCGCGUGGGUCCCCCUUUGGCUUGUUCGGAGGGGGGCUUACGUUUUCACACAAACUUUGUUUGCAGUGUAGAAUGUAUUUUUUGUUUUUGCGAUCACGCAAUCAAUACAACUUUCAACAACGGAUCUCUUGGCUCUC
This 285-nucleotide unclassified non-coding RNA is filed under the name plant metagenome. Its description in RNAcentral is "partial contains small subunit ribosomal RNA, internal transcribed spacer 1, and 5.8S ribosomal RNA". The stretch from base 1 to 54 matches the Rfam family "Eukaryotic small subunit ribosomal RNA", at positions 1778 to 1831 of the family's 1831-position model. The record is from RNAcentral.